GAUGAACGCUGGCGGCGUGCCUAAUACAUGCAAGUCGAGCGAACGGACGAGAAGCUUGCUUCUCUGAUGUUAGCGGCGGACGGGUGAGUAACACGUGGAUAACCUACCUAUAAGACUGGGAGAACUUCGGGAAACCGGAGCUAAUACCGGAUAAUAUUUUGAACCGCAUGGUUCAAAAGUGAAAGACGGUCUUGCUGUCACUUAUAGAUGGAUCCGCGCUGCAUUAGCUAGUUGGUAAGGUAACGGCUUACCAAGGCAACGAUGCAUAGCCGACCUGAGAGGGUGAUCGGCCACACUGGAACUGAGACACGGUCCAGACUCCUACGGGAGGCAGCAGUAGGGAAUCUUCCGCAAUGGGCGAAAGCCUGACGGAGCAACGCCGCGUGAGUGAUGAAGGUCUUCGGAUCGUAAAACUCUGUUAUUAGGGAAGAACAUAUGUGUAAGUAACUGUGCACGUCUUGACGGUACCUAAUCAGAAAGCCACGGCUAACUACGUG
RNAcentral lists this ribosomal RNA (497 nucleotides) under uncultured bacterium. RNAcentral describes it as "partial 16S ribosomal RNA". It matches the Rfam family "Bacterial small subunit ribosomal RNA", at positions 28 to 507 of the family's 1533-position model. The record is from RNAcentral.